Gossypium raimondii (Peruvian cotton) is the source of this 87-nucleotide non-coding RNA. Lineage: Eukaryota; Viridiplantae; Streptophyta; Magnoliopsida; Malvales; Malvaceae. The record is from Rfam.
CACGUCAGCGCUAGUUGCUGACAUGGCAACAAAUCGCGUCCUAAAGGGCGCGAUUUGUUGCCAUGUCAGCAACUCGCGAUGAUGUGG